UACGUAGGGGGCGAGCGUUGUUCGGAAUUACUGGGCGUAAAGCGCACGUAGGCGGAUUUGUAAGUCAGGGGUGAAAUCCCGGGGCUCAACCUCGGAACUGCCUUUGAUACUGCAAAUCUCGAGUCCGGAAGAGGUGAGUGGAAUUCCUAGUGUAGAGGUGAAAUUCGUAGAUAUUAGGAAGAACACCAGUGGCGAAGGCGGCUCACUGGUCCGGUACUGACGCUGAGGUGCGAAAGCCAGGGGAGCAAACGGG
This 253-nucleotide ribosomal RNA is filed under the name uncultured bacterium. RNAcentral describes it as "partial 16S ribosomal RNA". It matches the Rfam family "Bacterial small subunit ribosomal RNA", at positions 524 to 776 of the family's 1533-position model. The record is from RNAcentral.